Molecule: ribosomal RNA, 499 nt
Filed under: uncultured bacterium
Lineage: Bacteria
Description: partial 16S ribosomal RNA
Rfam family: Bacterial small subunit ribosomal RNA
Source: RNAcentral
ACUCAAAUGAAUUGACGGGGGCCCGCACAAGCGGUGGAGCAUGUGGAUUAAUACGUCACUAACCGUAGAACCUUACCCAGGCUUGACAUCCCUGGAACCCCUCUGAAAGGAGGGGGUGCCCGCAAGGGAGCCAGGAGACAGGUGUUGCAUGGCUGUCGUCAGCUCGUGUCGUGAGAUGUUGGGUUAAGUCCCGCAACGAGCGCAACCCUCACCGUAUGUUGCCAGCAUUGAGUUGGGCACUCUUACGGAACUGCCCGUGCAAACGGGAGGAAGGUGGGGACGACGUCAAGUCAGCAUGGCCCUUACGCCUGGGGCUUCACACAUGCUACAAUGGCCGGUACAGAGGGUUCCAAACUCGUGAGGGGGAGGCAAUCCCAAAAAGCCGGUCUCAGUUCGGAUCGCAGGCUGCAACUCGCCUGCGUGAAGUCGGAAUCGCUAGUAACCGCCGGUCAGCUAAACGGCGGUGAAUACGUUCCCGGGCCUUGCACACACCGCCCGU